Molecule: ribosomal RNA, 383 nt
Filed under: Bacillus subtilis
Lineage: Bacteria; Bacillati; Bacillota; Bacilli; Caryophanales; Bacillaceae
Description: bacterial SSU rRNA
Rfam family: Bacterial small subunit ribosomal RNA
Source: RNAcentral
AGGACGUCCCUUCGGGGGCAGAGUGACAGGUGGUGCAUGGUUGUCGUCAGCUCGUGUCGUGAGAUGUUGGGUUAAGUCCCGCAACGAGCGCAACCCUUGAUCUUAGUUGCCAGCAUUCAGUUGGGCACUCUAAGGUGACUGCCGGUGACAAACCGGAGGAAGGUGGGGAUGACGUCAAAUCAUCAUGCCCCUUAUGACCUGGGCUACACACGUGCUACAAUGGACAGAACAAAGGGCAGCGAAACCGCGAGGUUAAGCCAAUCCCACAAAUCUGUUCUCAGUUCGGAUCGCAGUCUGCAACUCGACUGCGUGAAGCUGGAAUCGCUAGUAAUCGCGGAUCAGCAUGCCGCGGUGAAUACGUUCCCGGGUCUUGUACACACCGA